AAAGAGAGCCAGAGGGCCCAUCAUGCUCAGGAGGAAUGAGGAGGCCAGAGCUCAGAGCCCGGAGUGGGGCCGCGCCGCCCCUGGUGGCCCCUCCCAGCAGGCAGGGCCUGUGUUUAAGGUGUUGCCAGGCAACCUGCCACGUGGGGCUGGAGGCUGUGGUUGGGGCAAAGCGCCAGUAAUGGAGAAGCAGAGCCCAGCGCUUGGUGUGACGGGGUCCCAGGUAGUCGGAUCAUGAAUGGAAUGACACACUCUGAACCGAAGAGACCUUACAGAUCAUCUAGUUCUCCAGCCUUGAAGAUGGGGAAACUGAGGCUCAAGGAAGGCAUGUAAACAGCAACCUCGGGAUUCCAUUUAAAUUCUGCCUCUCUGGAUCUGCUUCCUGAUAUAUAAAAUG
Molecule: long non-coding RNA, 394 nt
Filed under: Homo sapiens (human)
Lineage: Eukaryota; Metazoa; Chordata; Mammalia; Primates; Hominidae
Description: HSALNT0290792
Source: RNAcentral